UUUCUUGGGGAAGGUUCGUCCGCCCAAGGUAAGCCGGGAGCUAAGGCGAGGCCGAGAGGCGUAGUCGAUGCACAUACGGUAGAAAUUCCGUAACCACCGAAACUUAAGUCAGAGGGACACUUAGGGAUAGCGGAACCCGGGCGUUGGUUGACCCGGGCGUAAGGGACUGAAAAAUAGUAGGGAAGUCCGCGAUGCCCUGAGGCGAGAAAAGCUCUGAUGGAUGCUAAGGUGCCCGUACCGCAAACCGACACAGGUAGAUGAGGAGAGAAUCCUAAGGCCAACGGGAGAAGGGUUGUCAAGGAACUCGGCAAGUUAACCCCGUAACUUCGGAAUAAGGGGAGCCUCGCAAGAGGCCGCAGUGAAUAGGCCCAAGCAACUGUUUACCAAAAACACAGGUCUAUGCUAAAUCGAAAGAUGACGUAUAUGGGCUGACGCCUGCCCGGUGCUGGAAGGUUAAGAGGAGGGCUUAGCGCAAGCGAAGGUCUGAAUUGAAGCCCCAGUAAACGGCGGCCGUAACUAUAACGGUCCUAAGGUAGCGAAAUUCCUUGUCAGGUAAGUUCUGACCCGCACGAAUGGCGUAAUGAUUUGGGCACUGUCUCGACAGCCCACCCGGCGAAAUUGUAGUACUGGUGAAGAUGCCAGUUACCCGCAACUAGACGGAAAGACCCCAUGGAGCUUUACUGUAGCUUAAUACUGAAGAUCGGUAAUGCAUGUACAGGAUAGGUGGGAGACUUGGAAGCCAGGCCGUCAGCUUUGGUGGAGUCAACCUUGGGAUACCACUCUUGUAUUGCUGGUUUUCUAACCUGCGGCCCUGAAUCGGGUCGGGGGACACUGUUAGGUGGGCAGUUUGACUGGGGCGGUCGCCUCCAAAAGAGUAACGGAGGCGCUCAAAGGUUCGUUCAGCACGGACGGAAAUCGUGCAGUGAGUGUAAACGCAUAAACGAGCCUAACUGCGAGACCGACGGGUCGAGCAGUAACGAAAGUUGGAGUUAGUGAUCCGGUGGUAUGUGAGUGGAAAUGCCAUCGCUCAACGGAUAAAAGCUACCCUGGGGAUAACAGGCUGAUCUCCCCCAAGCGUCCACAGCGACGGGGAGGUUUGGCACCUCGAUGUCGGCUCGUCGCAUCCUGGGGCUGAAUUCGGUCCCAAGGGUUUGGCUGUUCGCCAAUUAAAGCGGCACGCGAGCUGGGUUCAGAACGUCGUGAGACAGUUCGGUCCCUAUCUGUUGCGGGCGUAAGAGAUUUGAAGGGAGCUGUCCUUAGUACGAGAGGACCGGGAUGGACGUACCUCUGGUGCACCAGUUGUCGUGCCAACGGCACAGCUGGGUAGCUAUGUACGGACGGGAUAAACGCUGAAGGCAUCUAAGCGUGAAGCCCCCCCUAAGAUGAGAUCUCUCAUCCUUUAUGGAGUAAGGGCCCAGGAAGACUACCUGGUUGAUAGGCAGGAGGUGGAAGCGCAGUAAUGUGUGCAGCUGACCUGUACUAAUCGCCCGAGGGCUUGACCU
This 1502-nucleotide ribosomal RNA is filed under the name mouse gut metagenome. RNAcentral describes it as "bacterial LSU rRNA". It matches the Rfam family "Bacterial large subunit ribosomal RNA", at positions 1351 to 2925 of the family's 2925-position model. The record is from RNAcentral.